Molecule: long non-coding RNA, 991 nt
Filed under: Pan paniscus (pygmy chimpanzee)
Lineage: Eukaryota; Metazoa; Chordata; Mammalia; Primates; Hominidae
Description: lncRNA (ENSPPAG00000044725.1)
Source: RNAcentral
AUGUGGGUGGCUGAGAAGGGCACUAGGGUGGGGGUGGCUGGAGGAAUUUUAAGUGCUGUGAUGAAAUGGGCACCCUUCUCUGCCCUCCAUCGCCAAGCCCUACACCUCUGCGAAGACUGUGACACACAAAGUCCUGUGUCAACGGUUGUGCCAGGUAGAGACAAAGUCGCUGGAAUUGCAGCCGCCUGGUACCUCUGGAGCAUCUGGGUCCCUGGAGGGCAGAGCUGUCUUGAACUGCUUGCAAAGGAGUCUGUGCCCGCAGAGAGAGCCUGCUCCAGCCUCUUUGCUACAGCCUUGAGUCUUCUGCUGAAGCUGGAAGCCAUGGAAACUUUUCAGCAGGGGAAUGACAAUAACAAGACAGACUUGGAGACAGAAAGCCUGGAUUUGGGGGCAUUGUAAUUGAGCGCCAGUAUCAUGAAAAUAAAAUAAACAAUAACAACAAAAACUGCUGAGACUAUGGAGACUGAUUUGUUAUGGGAAGGGAAAGAAAGUGAUGUCAAAGAUGCCACCAGGGGUUGGACUAAUAGAGACCAGGGCUACCCAAAGACACGAGGAGGGGCUGCUGGUCAGGAGGGAGGGUUGUGAGUUUUGUUUUGCCUGUUUGAGUUUAAGAACAUGAUGAGAAACCCAAGUGCAGCUCAACAGUGGGGCUGCUGCCUGAGCCCCUGGAGACUAAAUCCGCUUAGAGGUGAUGAUUGAAAGAAAGUGUGAGCCUGGAAAAAUGUUCUCUUAGAGAAAGCGUGAAGAAAGGAGAGCGGGGGCCCAAGACUGGGCCUUGGACUGGAGGCUGAAGAGGAACCUGUGAAGGAAACAGAAUGUUCCCAGCCAAGGGCUCCCUGGUCCUGCAGGAUGCCUUGCUGCCUGCUGCCCAGGGCACAGCAACCAUUGCUACCAAAACAGUGCCAGCUCCAGCUUGCGGCAGAGAGAAGUGAUGCAGGCCUGGAGGCCAGCAGCAAUGUUGACAUGAUGUGCUACAUUAUUCGACCUACCC